Molecule: transfer RNA, 73 nt
Filed under: Natronoglycomyces albus
Lineage: Bacteria; Bacillati; Actinomycetota; Actinomycetes; Glycomycetales; Glycomycetaceae
Rfam family: tRNA
About the family: Transfer RNA (tRNA) molecules are approximately 80 nucleotides in length. Their secondary structure includes four short double-helical elements and three loops (D, anti-codon, and T loops). Further hydrogen bonds mediate the characteristic L-shaped molecular structure. tRNAs have two regions of fundamental functional importance: the anti-codon, which is responsible for specific mRNA codon recognition, and the 3' end, to which the tRNAs corresponding amino acid is attached (by aminoacyl-tRNA synthetases). tRNAs cope with the degeneracy of the genetic code in two manners: having more than one tRNA (with a specific anti-codon) for a particular amino acid; and 'wobble' base-pairing, i.e. permitting non-standard base-pairing at the 3rd anti-codon position.
Source: Rfam by way of RNAcentral
GGGGCCAUAGCUCAAUUGGCAGAGCGCCGCUUUUGCAAGGCGGAGGUUAGGAGUUCGAUUCUCCUUGGCUCCA